AUUGAACGCUGGCGGCAGGCCUAACACAUGCAAGUCGAACGGUAACAGGAAGAAGCUUGCUUCUUUGCUGACGAGUGGCGGACGGGUGAGUAAUGUCUGGGAAACUGCCUGAUGGAGGGGGAUAACUACUGGAAACGGUAGCUAAUACCGCAUAACGUCGCAAGACCAAAGAGGGGGACCUUCGGGCCUCUUGCCAUCGGAUGUGCCCAGAUGGUAUUAGCUAGUAGGUGGGGUAACGGCUCACCUAGGCGACGAUCCCUAGCUGGUCUGAGAGGAUGAAGAGCCCCACUGGAACUGAGACACGGUACAGACUCCGACGGGAGGCAGCAGCGGGGAAGAUUGCACAAUGGGCGCAAGCCUGAUGCAGCCAUGCCGGGUGUAUGAAGAAGGCCUGCGGGUUGUAAAGUACUUUCAGCGGGGAGGAAGGGAGUAAAGUUAAUACCUUUGCUCAUGGACGUUACCCGCAGAAGAAGCACCGGCUAACUCCGU
Molecule: ribosomal RNA, 489 nt
Filed under: uncultured bacterium
Lineage: Bacteria
Description: partial 16S ribosomal RNA
Rfam family: Bacterial small subunit ribosomal RNA
Source: RNAcentral